Molecule: ribosomal RNA, 496 nt
Filed under: uncultured bacterium
Lineage: Bacteria
Description: partial 16S ribosomal RNA
Rfam family: Bacterial small subunit ribosomal RNA
Source: RNAcentral
GAUGAACGCUGGCGGCGUGCCUAAUACAUGCAAGUCGAGCGAACGGACGAGAAGCUUGCUUCUCUGAUGUUAGCGGCGGACGGGUGAGUAACACGUGGAUAACCUACCUAUAAGACUGGGAUAACUUCGGGAAACCGGAGCUAAUACCGGAUAAUAUUUUGAACCGCAUGGUUCAAAAGUGAAAGACGGUCUUGCUGUCACUUAUAGAUGGAUCCGCGCUGCAUUAGCUAGUUGGUAAGGUAACGGCUUACCAAGGCAACGAUGCAUAGCCGACCUGAGAGGGUGAUCGGCCACACUGGAACUGAGACACAGUCCAGACUCCUACGGGAGGCAGCAGUAGGGAAUCUUCCGCAAUGGGCGAAAGCCUGACGGAGCAACGCCGCGUGAGUGAUGAAGGUCUUCGGAUCGUAAAACUCUGUUAUUAGGGAAGAACAUAUGUGUAAGUAACUGUGCACAUCUUGACGGUACCUAAGCAGAAAGCCACGGCUAACUACGU